RNAcentral lists this ribosomal RNA (253 nucleotides) under uncultured bacterium. RNAcentral describes it as "partial 16S ribosomal RNA". It matches the Rfam family "Bacterial small subunit ribosomal RNA", at positions 524 to 776 of the family's 1533-position model. The record is from RNAcentral.
UACGUAGGCAGCGAGCGUUGUUCGGAAUUACUGGGCGUAAAGAGUGUGUAGGCGGUGCUCUAAGUUCGGUGUGAAAUCUCCCGGCUUAACUGGGAGGGUGCGCCGGAAACUGGAGUGCUCGAGCGUGGGAGAGGAAAGCGGAAUUCCUGGUGUAGCGGUGAAAUGCGCAGAUAUCAGGAGGAAUACCGGUGGCGAAGGCGGCCCCCUGGACAAAGACUGACGCUCAGGUGCGAAAGCGUGGGGAGCAAACAGG